RNAcentral lists this long non-coding RNA (833 nucleotides) under Helianthus annuus (common sunflower). RNAcentral's name for it is "hypothetical non coding rna". Lineage: Eukaryota; Viridiplantae; Streptophyta; Magnoliopsida; Asterales; Asteraceae. The record is from RNAcentral.
GUUUCUUUUCCCCUCACCACGUCAUUUGUGGCUCAGUAACCUCCUCUUUCUUUGCUCAAAAUCCAGCGCUAAUUCUUUAGGAUCGAAUGGAGGAAAUAAAAAAUUCAUCGUUUCUCUCCAUUGGAUUGGUGCGAUUUCGGUAGAUUGAUAUAUGGGAUUUCAUCAACAAUCGAUUUUUAUAACCUACGAUUUCAUUCAGCCGGCGUCGGAGUUUCACUCGCCGUUGCUCUGAUCAUAUCGAUUCAAUCAGAAUCGACGGUGUUAAACCCACAUAUCGGUGGGAGAACUCAGAUCUAAAAUUCUACACCAAAAGAAGAUAAACUACGUAUGCCAUAAAGACUUCAAUCUCGUCUUCUUUGGCGACCUCACCGGUCAAGAUUUCUAGUGGUUCGAGCGUGAUCAUAAAGAGGCUUCCAGUGUAACUUAUGAAUUUAGCUAUGAAAAGAAACUAAAAAAGGAUUUUGCCAUUUGCUGAUCUCAUAUGCUCCGGUGGAACUGAGGAAGCACCAACUGAAUAACACUAAAAGUGAUGGUUAUCAAGAUCAGGUUCGAGAACUCCUGGAUGCUUAUAUCGUUUGUUCAAAAAAUCAGUGGUAUUGGAACAUAGCUUGUCGUUAUCAGCAACGACGGACAAGUCUCAACCCUCAGGUUUGCAUAAUUAAGGUUGUGUAGAAGUAUCUUAUCUAUCAGUUUUUGUUGAUGUUGGUGUGUAGUAUACGGAGGAUUACAAGAGUAUUAUCGACGUUGCAAGAAGUUCAAGUAUUAAGGCAAGUGAAAAUUUUCCUUUGAUAUGUGUUUGGUUUGAAGACAAUUUCUACAUUAUUUUUUAUUCU